UAUGAGGAAUAUGGCAGCGUCCUGAGCGCUGUUGGGGGGAAUACGGCGUAAACUGAGUACCUUCAGCAUCAGACUGGGACAACUGAGACACGCUCAGAGGAGGGUGGGGGGCCGAGGGACGGCUACGAAUAACACCCGUUAGCAGUUUUACAGGUCCUGUGAGAAGAUGAAUGUCGUCAAAGAAAACAAAGACCUGGCCUGUUUCUACACCACCAAACACUCUUGGAGGGGGAAGUACAAGCGAGUCUUCUCAGUGGGGACGCACGGCAUUACCACUUACAAUCCCACCACGCUAGAAGUAACGAAUCAGUGGCCUUAUGGAGACAUCUGCGGCAUCGGCCCGGUCGGGAAAGGUCAGGGGACGGAGUUCAACCUCACGUUCCGCAAAGGCAGCGGCAAGAAGUCGGAAACGCUCAAGUUCUCCACAGAGCACCGGACAGAGCUGCUCACGGAAGCGCUGAGAUUCAGAACAGAGUUUUCAGAGGGGAAGAUAACUGGAAGGCGGUACAACUGCUACAAGCAUCACUGGAGUGACACACGCAAGGCCGUAUGUUUAGAGGUGACGCCGGGCGGCAUCGACCAGAUCGACCCCCACACGAAUCGAGUAGUGUGCUCGUACGACUAUCGAAAUGUAGAGGGCUUCGUCGAGCUCUCUGACUACCAGGGAGGGUUCUGCAUCCUUUACGGCGGCUUCAGCCGGCUGCAUCUGUUCGCCUCAGAAAAUCGAGACGAAAUCAUCCGGAGCGCCAUAGAGCAUGCCGGGAACUUCAUCGGCAUCAUGCUGCGGCUGAGGAAGGAGUCUUUGACCUAUGAGGAUUUCGUGACCGACAGGUUGGGGAAAUACAGCUCGGACGAGAGCAUCACUUCUCUGGCCGAGUUCGUAGUGCAGAAGAUCACCCCUCGACACCCGGAGCCCGUUAAACGAAUUCUGGCCUUGACGGAAACGUGUUUAGUGGAGAGAGACCCGGCUUCGUACAACAUAGUCACGAUCAAACCCUUUGGAGAGGUAUUUGCUCUCAUCUGUGAUGUCGACAACCCUCAGGUGUUUACAGUGGAAUUCAUCAGAGGUCAGAUCAGAAAGUUCUCCUCCACAGAAAGGGACUCCCUGUUAGCCAGCCUGCUCGAUGGAGUCCGUGCGUCGGGUAACAGGGACGUAUGUGUCAAGAUGGCCCCCACGCAGCGAGGGCAGAGGUGGGGCUUGCUGAGCAUGCCCGUGGACGAGGAGGUGGAGAGUUUGCAUCUCAAAUUCCUGGCGGCGCCUCCUAAUGGAAACUUUGCAGAUGCGGUGUUCAGAUUCAACGCCAACAUAUCUUACAGCGGCGUGCUGCAUGCAGUAACCCAAGAUGGUCUUUUCUCUGAGAACAAAGAGAAGCUCAUCAACAACGCCGUCCUGGCUCUUUUAACCCAGGACGCCGAGCUUCCGGCUCAGAACGCUGAGCUGGAAAGCCAUUUUCAGGCCAUCCGACGCCUGGUGGCCUCCAAGGCCGGCUUCCAGGCUUUCACUCAGCUGCCCAAGUCUGGUCAAGGGUCUGGACUCACAGAUGCAACGUUCAGGGAAAAGUUGGGAGUAAAGACGGUAAAAGCUUUAAAAAGGAACAACAAUAGCGUGACACAUGCUGCUAUAGACAUGCUCUGUGCCCUUAUGUGUCCGAUGCACGAUGAUUACGACCUGAGGCAGGAGCAGCUGAACAAGGCCUCACUGCUGUCCUCCAAGAAGUUCCUGGAAAACCUUCUUGAAAAGUUCAUCACUAAUGUGGACCAGGGAACGGGAGCUUUGGUCAUCAGCUCCUUGUUGGACUUCUUAACGUUUGCCCUCUGCGCCCCCUACAGUGAAACAACAGAGGGGCAGCAGUUCGACAUGCUGCUGGAGAUGGCUGCUUCCAACGGUCGAACCCUGUUCAAACUAUUCCAGCAUCCCUCCAUGGCAAUAGUGAAGGGAGCAGGUCUGGUCAUGAAAGCCAUUAUUGAGGAGGGAGACAAAGAAAUAGCCACUAAGAUGCAGGAGCUGGCUUUGAGUGAAGGGGCUCUGCCGAGGCAUCUGCACACGUCUUUGUUCACCAUCAGUGCAGACCAGCGGAUGCUCACCAACAGGCAACUGAGUCGACACCUGGUGGGACUGUGGACUGCAGAGAAUCCUGUUGCCAUGAACCUCCUGAAGAGGAUAUUGCCAACGGGCUUGCUGGCGUACCUUGACAGUCCGGACCCUGUUCCAGAGAAAGAUGUGGACAGAAUGCACAUCCGAGACAACUUGAAAAUCGCCACGGAUCAGCUAAAUCGAAACAAGGUGCCUGAGUGGCAGCGGAUAGCAGGCAAAGCGGCCAAAGAGGUGGAGAAGUUCGCCAAGGAGAAAGCUGACGUGGUGCUGAUGCACUGGAGAGACAAGAUGGGCAUAGCCCAGAAGGAGCAGGACAGAAAUAACCUGAAUCCAAACCAAAAGCCUGUCAUCCUGAGAAAGAGAAGACAAAGAAUAAAGAUUGAAUCAAAUUGGGAGCUUUUCUACUACAGGUUCCAGCUGGACCACGCGAGAUCCAACCUCAUCUGGAACCUGAAAACGAGGGAGGAGCUGCGGGACGCCCUGGAGGGCGAGAUGCGCGCCUUCAGUGUGGACCGCGAGCUCGGCAGCGCCACCGUCAUCUCCUGGAACCACCAGGAGUUUGAGGUGAAAUACGAGUGCCUUUCAGACGAGAUAAAGAUCGGCGAUUAUUACUUGCGCCUGCUGUUGGAGGAGGAUGAAAACGCAGAAUCGAGUGCCAUCAAGAGAUCAUACGAGUUCUUCAACGAGCUCUACCAUCGCUUUUUGCUCACACCCAAAGUUACGAUGAAGUGCCUGUGCCUGCAGGCGCUGGCGAUAGUCUACGGGAAGUGCUACGAGGAGAUCGGACCCUUCACAGACACAAAAUACAUCGUGGGCAUGCUGGACCGGUGUACAGACAAGCUGGAGAGAGACAGACUCAUCCUCUUCCUCAACAAGCUCAUUCUCAACAGGAAAAAUGUGAAGGAAGUCAUGGAUUCAAAUGGAGUUCGCAUCCUCGUGGACCUUCUCACUUUGGCCCAUCUUCAUACCAGCAGAGCUACUGUGCCUCUACAGAGCAACGUGCUGGAGGCGGCACCAGACAUGAAGAGGGAGAGCGAGAAGGAGUGGUACUUUGGUAACGCAGACAAGGAAAGAAGAGGACCUUUCAGUUUUGAGGAGAUGCAGGAGUUUUGGAACACAGGCGUCCUGACUGCAAAGACACGCUGCUGGGCUCAGGGCAUGGACGGUUGGCGCCCCCUGCAGGCCAUUCCUCAACUGAAGUGGUGCCUCCUGGCCACAGGGCAGGCGGUGAUGAACGAGUCGGACCUGGCCACGCUGAUCCUCAACAUGCUCAUCACCAUGUGCUCCUACUACCCCAGCAGGGAUCAGGAUAAUGCCAUUAUCCGUCCUUUACCCAAGAUCAAGAGGAUGAUCACUGAUAACGCCUGUCUCCCUCAUAUUGUCCAGCUGCUGUUAACCUUUGACCCCAUUCUGGUGGAGAAGGUUGCCAAUGUUUUAUACUUGGUGAUGCAAGACAACCCCAACCUGCAGCGCCUCUAUUUGACAGGAGUCUUCUUCUUCAUCAUGAUGUACACAGGCUCCAACGUGCUUCCUGUUGCAAGAUUCCUCAAAUACACUCACCUGAAACAAGCCUUCAAAUCAGAGGAGUCUAAGGGUCAGGACAUAGUGCAGCGCAGCGUGUUGGGACCAGUGUUGCCCGAAGCCAUGGUGUGUUACCUGGAGAACUACGAGGCCGAGCGCUUUUCUGAGAUUUUCCUUGGGGAGUUUGACACACCUGAGGCCAUUUGGAGCAGUGAGAUGAGGCGGAUGAUGAUAGAGAAGAUAGCAGCCCACGUAGCUGACUUCAGCCCCAGGCUGCAGAGCAACACGCGGGCCCUGUACCAGUACUGCCCCAUCCCUGUGAUCAGCUUCCCUCAGCUGGACAACGAGCUCUUCUGCAACAUCUACUACCUCAGACAUCUGUGUGACACUGUCCGCUUCCCCAACUGGCCCAUUCGAGAUGCUGUGAAACUUCUAAAAGACACUCUUGAAGCCUGGAAGAGGGAGGUGGAGAAAAAGCCUCCCUCGAUGUCUGUGGAUGACGCCUAUGAAGUUCUCAACCUCCCCAAAGGACAGGGACAGCACGAAGAGAGUAAAAUCAGGAAGGCCUACUUCAGACUGGCGCAGAAGUACCAUCCUGACAAAAACCCAGAAGGCCGAGACAUGUUUGAGAAAGUUAACAAAGCCUACGAGUUCCUCUGCACCAAGUCGGCCCGAAUCCUGGACGGGCCUGACCCAGAAAACAUCAUCCUCAUCCUCAAAACCCAGAGCAUCCUGUUCAACAGACACAAACAAGAGCUGGAGCCUUACAAAUACGCCGGUUACCCCAUGCUCAUCAAAACAAUCACUAUGGAGACGGAGGAUGAUCAGCUGUUCUCCAAAACCUCCCCUCUCCUCCCCGCUGCUGCUGAACUGGCCUUCCACACUGUAAACUGCUCGGCUCUUAAUGCGGAAGAGCUGCGUCGCGAGAACGGCAUCGAGGUAUUGCUGGAGGCUCUGUCUCGGUGUGUCGCUGUGUUAACUGCAUCCAGUAAGCCCGAAGACAUGGCUGUACAGGUGUGCGGGCACAUCUGUAAGUGCUACAGUGUGGCAGCGCAGUUUGAAGAAUGCAGGGAAAAGAUCAUCGAACUGCCCAACAUCAUCCGGGACCUCUGUCACAUCCUGUACUACGGGAAGGGUCUCGCAAAGACUGCAGCCUUGGCGGUUCAGUGCGUCAGCUCCUUCGCAGUGGAUUACUUCCUGCAGACUCAUCUUUACCACGCCGGCGUGCUGUGGCACCUGCUGGUCCACCUCUUCAACUACGACUACACCCUGGAGGAGAGCGGGGUGCAGGCUAACCAGGACACAAACCAGCAGGAGGUCGCUAACAGCUUGGCUAAGCUCAGCCUGGUGGCUCUCAGCCGCCUGGGAGGCUACACGCAAAAACCGCACACAACAGAUGGCAACAACCCUGUUCCAGAGACCAACGGCGUAGAAGGCACACCUCCAGAAAACCCUACUAUACGCAAGAGCUUAGCCGCCAUGCUGACACCCUACAUCUCAAGGAAGCUAGGAACAGGAACUCCUCCAGAGGUCUUGAAGCUGCUGAAUAGUAACUCAGAGAAUCCUUACUUGAUCUGGAACAAUGGAACCAGAGCAGAGCUGAUGGAGUUCCUAGAGAGUCAACAAGAAGGAAACAUCAAGAGGGGAGAGAACGACAAAAGCUUCGGCGCAGAGUUUUUGUUCAGCGAUCACAGCAAAGAGCUCAUAGUUGGGGAGAUUUUUGUCCGAGUCUACAAUGAACAACCAUCUUUUCCACUGGAAUUCCCCAAAGCCUUUGCUGCCAGUCUGCUGGACUAUGUCGGCUCCCAAGCUCAGUACCUCCACACUCUGCUGGCCAUGAGUCAGAGUAACAAGGUGGAGUCCCAGCAGCAUGCAGAGCGGCUUCGCUUCGCUGAAAUGGCUUUAGAGGCUCUGCGCAACGUCAUCAAGAACAACCCUGGUUCCGAGUCGGAGUGCAUCGGUCACUUCAAGCUGCUCUUCUCUUUGCUGCGUGUUCAUGGAGCUGGCCGAGUGCAGCAGCUGGUUUUGGAGGUUGUCAACACAGUGACAUCAAACCAAGAAUGUGUGAGCAACAUCGCAGACUCUCUGGUGUUGUCCAACCUUCUGCUGUUGCUGCACUCACUUCCCUCCAGCAGGCAAAUCGUGCUGGAAACCCUCCAUGCGCUGACUUCCAACACGAAGAUAGUGAAAGAGGCCAUGGCCAAAGGUGCGCUCAUCUAUCUGCUGGACCUAUUCUGCAAUUGCACGCACCCCCAGGUCCGCACACAGACCGCGGAGCUCUUCUCCAAGAUGACGUCAGACAAGCUGGUUGGGCCAAAGGUGCGCCUGACGCUGAUACGAUUCCUUCCGGGUGUGUUCAUGGACGCAAUGCGAGACAACGCUGAGGCGGCUGUUCACAUAUUUGAAGGAACGCACGAAAACCCUGAGCUCAUCUGGAAUGACAACUCAAGGGAGAAAGUGUCCACAACCGUCCGGGAGAUGAUGCUCGAGCACUUUAAACAGCAGAAGGAUAAUCCUGACGUCAACUGGAGAUUGCCUGAAGACUUCACGGUGGCUUACGGAGCAGCACAGGGCGAGCUGGAAGUGGGCGGAGUCUUCUUGCGCAUCUUCAUUGCUCAGCCUGGCUGGGUGCUGCGCAAGCCCAGAGAGUUCCUGGUGUCUCUUUUGGAAACCCUGACCGAGCUGCUGGAGAAGAACAACCCCAACGGUGAGGCCCUGGAGACGGUCACCACGGCCGCAGUUUGCCUCUUCAGCACCCAGACCCAGCUGGCCGACCAGGUUCCCCCUCUGGGUCACCUCCCUCGCAUCCUGGCAGCACUCAACCACAAGAACAAUGCUGUGCCCAAGAGCUCCAUUCGCCUCAUCCAUGUCUUGUCGGACAACGAGCUGUGCGUGCGUUCCAUGUCUUCUCUGGAGACGAUCGGCCCCCUGAUGACCGGGAUGAAAGUCCGUGCAGACAUGGCCGGACUGGCUUGUGAAGCCCUGAACCGCAUGUUCCAGAAGGAGCAGACGGAACUAGUCGCGCAGGCCCUGCGAGUGGAGCUCGUUCCGUACCUCCUGAAAUUACUGGAAGGCAUCGGCCUGGAGACGCUAGAAAACCCCUCGGCCACUAAGGCCCAGAUAGUAAAAGCUCUUAAGUCCAUGACUCGCAGUCUUCAGUAUGGAGAGCAGGUGAAUGAAAUCCUUGCGAGGUCCUCAGUGUGGAGUGCCUUCAAAGACCAGAAGCAUGAUCUUUUCAUCUCAGAGUCUCAGACUGCAGGCUACCUGACAGGGGUAUCCACUCCUUCUCUCCUGGCCGCCAGCAGCCCACUGCGAGGUGGGCUCUAGACUCCCCGAGCUAGGCCCUCACAGCCCACCUCUCUCUUGCUCUGAUGCAGGUCCAGGAGUAGCAGGUUACCUUACAGCAGGAACUGGCACCACGGUGAUGUCCAGCGUCCCACCCCCCGUGGAUAACGACAACGGAGACCAAGGCUGAAGGACACACACACACACACACACACUAACAGUCACGGCUCAGGCACCCAGACUGCCUCGCAGCUUCACGGCCGCUGCACAGAGAAAGACUGUACUGUCCGGCUCCCCACGAUGGGAUAGAAAAAACAAAAACAAAAAAAAAAACAACAAACAAACUAAAGGCCGGGGGGAGAGCUGGCCACGAUUGACUGUCACCAAAAUCUCUACAACAGUAUCACUCUCCUUUCCCUCUUUUACAAAUGUCACUCAAGUCUUCACAAGCGCUUUGUUUUAACCGAUGACCACAUUUGUUUUGUUUCUGUGAUGUUUCUUGUUUCUUCCAAUGAUGACAGAUAAAGUUUACUUUUUGUAUGAAUAUAUUUUUUACUCUAGAUUUUUUUUUUUUUUUUUUUCAUGACACAUAUAUGGGAAGACUGAGGCUGGUUAUUGGUAAAUUGACUCUACUCCUGUAUUCCUAUUUGUCAUAUCCAGAUUGGCUUCACUGCACAUCUGUGCACAGGACCUAUCCAGCUCUUACAUAAACACGUCAUUUAACUGGUCUAUUUAAUAGACAGCCCUGUGGAAAAGGAAACUGUUAACGCGAUCAAUGAAUUCCCUGCCCUGUUUCUCCAGAAGAAAAGUGUCACUUUAAGACUGUUGAUGACCUUUUGUCUCUCUCGCUGAGGUCUAAUGAUCUGCUCUACAAAUGUUCUGCCUUCCUCCUCCGAUUUCCUCACACUUCGUUCUGCUCUCUCCUCCAAGGCUACCGUGUCCUGCCUCACAUUUUUAAAGUAAUUCUCCCCCCAGAAUGCAAAAAGCACUAGAAUAUUUAUAAGUGAAUAAUAACCACAGGAAAUGAGCUUCUGCUGACUUGACAAAUGACGUUGAUCCUGAUUACGAAUCUAUGUGAAAGACUAGUGCAAUUUGUGAAAUGUUCAAUGUAAUAUUACGUAUAUAAACUUUCUAUAUUGAAUGUACAUUAAAAAAAAAAUAAAUCAGUCACACUUGUACAUAAAAUUUUAAGAAUAAAAGGGAACCCACAGUGUUGUUCUUUUGUAUUUACAUUUGUGUUUGUCUGACAUUAAAGAGCUGUGUCUGUG
Molecule: RNA transcript, 8169 nt
Organism: Mugil cephalus (flathead mullet)
Lineage: Eukaryota; Metazoa; Chordata; Actinopteri; Mugiliformes; Mugilidae
Gene name: dnaJ homolog subfamily C member 13
Exons: 58
Source: RefSeq, a predicted model, not a curated record